RNAcentral lists this ribosomal RNA (388 nucleotides) under uncultured bacterium. RNAcentral's name for it is "partial 16S ribosomal RNA". It matches the Rfam family "Bacterial small subunit ribosomal RNA", at positions 523 to 918 of the family's 1533-position model. The record is from RNAcentral.
CUACGUAGGUGGCAAGCGUUAUCCGGAAUUAUUGGGCGUAAAGGGAGCGCAGGCGGUUUAUUAAGUUUAUGGUGAAAGUUCGGGGCUCAACCCCGUGAUGCCAUAGAAACUGGUAGACUUGAGUGCAGGAGAGGUUAGUGGAAUUCCAUGUGUAGCGGUAAAAUGCGUAGAUAUAUGGAGGAACACCAGUGGCGAAGGCGGCUAACUGGCCUGUAACUGACGCUGAGGCUCGAAAGCGUGGGGAGCAAAUAGGAUUAGAUACCCUAGUAGUCCACGCCGUAAACGAUGGAUACUAAGUGUUGGAGAAAUUCAGUGCUGUAGUUAACGCAAUAAGUAUCCCGCCUGGGGAGUAUGCGCGCAAGCGUAAAACUCAAAUGAAUUGACGGGG